This 253-nucleotide ribosomal RNA is filed under the name uncultured bacterium. RNAcentral describes it as "partial 16S ribosomal RNA". It matches the Rfam family "Bacterial small subunit ribosomal RNA", at positions 524 to 776 of the family's 1533-position model. The record is from RNAcentral.
UACGAAGGGGGCUAGCGUUGUUCGGAAUUACUGGGCGUAAAGCGCACGUAGGCGGGUUGUUAAGUCAGGGGUGAAAUCCCGGAGCUCAACUCCGGAACUGCCUUUGAUACUGGCAACCUGGAGGCUGGAAGAGGUUAGUGGAAUUCCCAGUGUAGAGGUGAAAUUCGUAGAUAUUGGGAAGAACACCAGUGGCGAAGGCGGCUAACUGGUCCAGAUCUGACGCUGAGGUGCGAAAGCGUGGGGAGCAAACAGG